This is a long non-coding RNA of Olea europaea var. sylvestris, 456 nucleotides long. RefSeq lists it as uncharacterized. The transcript is spliced from 2 exons. The record is from RefSeq and is a predicted model, not a curated record. NCBI's taxonomy places the organism in Eukaryota, Viridiplantae, Streptophyta, Magnoliopsida, Lamiales, Oleaceae.
ACUGCAUGGAGAUAAACUGACAUCCAGAAACUUGGUCCCAUGAUUAUAUUUGGGUUUUCCACAGGCAAUGUGCAUUCGUGUGGAAGAUGAGGGGGUCAUUUUGUUUUACAAGAACUCGUCCAGGAGAAACAUCAUCAUUAAAGAUGGUACAUACGAUUGGGUGUUCUUUGCAAUUUGAUUUGCUAGGCCUUGGAACUAAAAGUCGUUUCCCCUCGUGUGGAACUUGUACCUGAUUUGGGAUUUGGCUAAUGGAUGAAGAGCCAAAAUUUUUCAAGCUUGUGUCAAUUUUGUAGUUUUAUUAAGUAUAUUUCUUUAGAUCAUACACAACAACAGCGUAAUAACUUUUAUGUGUGUGGAAAGAUGAUUUCAUAGAGAUUUUUUUGUCCUUGGGGCUUCCUGAGUUGUAUAUUACAAUUUAUAAGUUAUUCAAUUACCCAAAUUCCUUUUUACCAUUGA